UCAGCACCACAUUGUUUCCCGUUACAAGA
Molecule: small RNA, 29 nt
Filed under: Bombyx mori (domestic silkworm)
Lineage: Eukaryota; Metazoa; Arthropoda; Insecta; Lepidoptera; Bombycidae
Description: ovarian small RNA-25655
Source: RNAcentral